RNAcentral lists this ribosomal RNA (207 nucleotides) under uncultured bacterium. RNAcentral's name for it is "partial 16S ribosomal RNA". It matches the Rfam family "Bacterial small subunit ribosomal RNA", at positions 568 to 774 of the family's 1533-position model. The record is from RNAcentral.
CACGUAGGCGGUAGGAUGUGUGUGAUGUGAAAGCCCCGGGCUCAACCUGGGAAGUGCAUCGCAAACUAUCUAACUAGAGUAGAUGAGAGGGUGGCGGAAUUUCCGGUGUAGCGGUGAAAUGCGUAGAGAUCGGAAGGAACGUCAAUGGCGAAGGCAGCCACCUGGCAUCAUACUGACGCUGAGGUGCGAAAGCGUGGGGAGCGAACA